GAACAUAAGCAGAAGCACCCGCUUCUCACCUGAUCGACGCCGUAUGGCUGUUAGCAGGUUUCAUGACAGAAAAAUGUUGUGAGCGAGACGUGUGGGUGUAUUGUGCCCACACGUUUUUGUCGUG
Anoxybacillus flavithermus is the source of this 124-nucleotide non-coding RNA. NCBI's taxonomy places the organism in Bacteria, Bacillati, Bacillota, Bacilli, Caryophanales, Anoxybacillaceae. The record is from Rfam.